AUGGCCGCCGACCCUAGCUCCGACCUCGCCAACGGGGCCCCGGCCCCCGCCCCCGCCGCCGACAAGAAGAAGUCGCGCGAGAGCGAGCGCCGCCGCCGCCGCCGGAAGCAGAAGAAGAGCAAGGCGCCCGCUUCCGACGCCGCCGCCUCCGACGCCGACGCCGAUGCGGGCGAGGAGGACAAGCCCGACUCCAAGCCCCCGGUGGAGAUCGAGGUGGAGUACGUGCCGGAGGAGCCGGACCUCGCCGACGGCCUGCUCGCCGACUUCAAGAGCAUCUUCGACAAGUUCACCUUCAAGGAGCCCGUCGCCGCCGAGGAUGGGGAGAAGAAGGACGAGGCCGCCGACGCGGCAAAGAAGGGGUCGGGGUCCGACUCGGACGACGACGAGCAGGAGACCCAGCAGAAGAAGAAGGAAGGGGGCAUCUCCAACAAGAAGAAAAAGCUGGAGCAAAGGAUGAAGAUCGCGGAGCUGAAGCAGAUAUGCAACAGGCCCGACGUCGUCGAAGUUUGGGACGCGACUGCAUCAGACCCCAAGUUACUUGUCUAUCUGAAGUCUUACAGGAACACAGUACCUGUCCCAAGGCACUGGUCUCAAAAGAGGAAAUUCUUGCAGGGUAAGAGAGGUAUCGAAAAACAACCUUUCCAACUUCCUGACUUCAUUGCUGCAACUGGAAUAGAAAAAAUUAGACAGGCAUAUAUCGAGAAAGAGGAUAGCAAAAAGUUGAAGCAGAAGCAGCGGGAGCGUAUGCAGCCAAAAAUGGGCAAGAUGGAUAUAGAUUAUCAGGUUUUACACGACGCCUUCUUCAAAUAUCAAACAAAACCAAAAUUGACUAGUCAUGGUGACCUUUACUAUGAAGGAAAAGAGUUUGAGGUCAAACUCAGGGAAAUGAAGCCAGGUAUGCUGUCCCGAGAACUUAAAGAAGCUCUUGGUAUGCCAGAAGGUGCACCGCCUCCAUGGCUUAUAAACAUGCAGAGAUAUGGUCCUCCGCCCUCUUAUCCUUCACUGAAGAUUCCUGGUCUGAAUGCCCCAAUUCCUCCUGGUGCUACUUUUGGUUACCGGCCCGGGGAAUGGGGAAAGCCUCCUGUGGAUGAGCAUGGACGCCCCCUCUACGGAGAUGUUUUUGGUAUCCUACAGCUGGAUGAACCUAAUUAUGAUGAGGAGCCUGUUGACCGCAGCAAGCAUUGGGGAGACUUGGAGGAGGAAGAGGAGGAGGAGGAAGAUGAUGAGGAGGAAGAGGAGGAGGAACUAAUGGAAGAUGAAGACAUGGAAGCUGGCAUGCAGUCUGUCGACACCAUGUCAAGCACUCCCACUGGCGUGGAAACACCUGACGUCAUUGAUCUUCGGAAGCAACAGAGGAAAGAGUCUGAAAGGCCAACAGAUAAGCAGUUAUACCAGGUUCUUGAGCAGAAGGAGGAGAAAAUCGCACCUGGAACCCUGUAUGGGUCAAGCCAUACGUAUGUGGUUGGGGCACAGGAUAAGGCUGGGGUUAAAAGGGUUGAUCUUCUCAAGAAUCAAAAGUCCGACAAAGUGGACGUCACCAUACAUCCCGAGGAGCUCGAGGUUAUGGACGAUGUCCUGGCAGCCAAGUAUGAAGAAGCCCGGGAGGAGGAGAAGCUCCGGAACCAGAAGGAAGACUUCAGCGACAUGGUGGCGGAGAACGCGAGCAAGAGGAAGAGGAAGCACGAGAAGGACGGGAAAUCUUCCAAAAAGAAGGACUUCAAGUUCUAG
Molecule: ribosomal RNA, 1728 nt
Filed under: Triticum aestivum (bread wheat)
Lineage: Eukaryota; Viridiplantae; Streptophyta; Magnoliopsida; Poales; Poaceae
Description: partial small subunit ribosomal RNA
Source: RNAcentral